Molecule: ribosomal RNA, 501 nt
Filed under: uncultured bacterium
Lineage: Bacteria
Description: partial 16S ribosomal RNA
Rfam family: Bacterial small subunit ribosomal RNA
Source: RNAcentral
AUUGAACGCUGGCGGCAGGCUUAACACAUGCAAGUCGAGCGGGGGAAGGUAGCUUGCUACCGGACCUAGCGGCGGACGGGUGAGUAAUGCUUAGGAAUCUGCCUAUUAGUGGGGGAUAACAUCUCGAAAGGGAUGCUAAUACCGCAUACGUCCUACGGGAGAAAGCAGGGGAUCUUCGGACCUUGCGCUAAUAGGUGAGCCUAAGUCGGAUUAGCUAGUUGGUGGGGUAAAGGCCUACCAAGGCGACGAUCUGUAGCGGGUCUGAGAGGAUGAUACGCCACACGGGGACUGAGACACAGCCCGGACUCCUACGGGAGGCAGCAGUGGGGAAUAUUGGACAAUGGGGGGAACCCUGAUCCAGCCAUGCCGCGUGUGUGAAGAAGGCCUUAUGGUUGUAAAGCACUUUAAGCGAGGAGGAGGCUACUUUAGUUAAUACCUAGAGAUAGUGGACGUUACUCGCAGAAUAAGCACCGGCUAACUCUGUGCCAGCCGCCGCCGUAA